GUUUUAAUAAUUUAAUAAAAUAUUAGUCUUGUAAACUAAAAUUAGGGAAUAUCCUUUAAAACU
This 63-nucleotide transfer RNA is filed under the name Yanocephalus yanonis. RNAcentral's name for it is "tRNA-Thr". It matches the Rfam family "tRNA". From Rfam's summary of the family: Transfer RNA (tRNA) molecules are approximately 80 nucleotides in length. Their secondary structure includes four short double-helical elements and three loops (D, anti-codon, and T loops). Further hydrogen bonds mediate the characteristic L-shaped molecular structure. tRNAs have two regions of fundamental functional importance: the anti-codon, which is responsible for specific mRNA codon recognition, and the 3' end, to which the tRNAs corresponding amino acid is attached (by aminoacyl-tRNA synthetases). tRNAs cope with the degeneracy of the genetic code in two manners: having more than one tRNA (with a specific anti-codon) for a particular amino acid; and 'wobble' base-pairing, i.e. permitting non-standard base-pairing at the 3rd anti-codon position. The record is from RNAcentral. Lineage: Eukaryota; Metazoa; Arthropoda; Insecta; Hemiptera; Cicadellidae.